Molecule: long non-coding RNA, 1065 nt
Organism: Esox lucius (northern pike)
Lineage: Eukaryota; Metazoa; Chordata; Actinopteri; Esociformes; Esocidae
Exons: 3
Source: RefSeq, a predicted model, not a curated record
UUGGUGCAGCACGAGAGAUUUUAUUUCCAGUAGAGAGAGAGAGCUGUUCUGGAGUUUGUUUUGGUUGCCUUUGUCUUGUCUGCCUGCUAUCCCUUCCUGCUGUUUCCAUCCACUUACCUUUUUCCGGGGAGAAAAGAUAGGCACCAUGAUCUUACCUAGUAAGCUACACAGGACCCCAAAUGUAAAACUUCCCUGCUCAUACCUGCCCUGCUCUGAGGAGGGCAAUUGUUGGGAGUGUUAUCCACUGGUUGUAGUUAAGAAGUCAGAUCUCAACUUCAUUCUUAACAUUUAGAUCUUCGACCGACGAGGCAGAAACGUUGGUCUGCCACCCAAAGCUGCUGGCCUCAGUAAUGAGGAUGGAGAACCGUGAAGAUUGGUUCAUGUUUUGGACCAAACUGUAUGCUGAUGAUGGAGAUGCGUAUUGUGAUAUCAUGCCCAUGCCUUCCAGCCCUGUUAGAUGACACACUGGUGACCACAGAUCUGGGUUCACUGGUCAGUCAUGCACCGCCCAGGCGGACCCAAUCUGGGGUUCUUCUGACCAUCUGUUCCUCAGACCGGCAGCACUGCCCAGCUACUGUUCCCUCCAAGAUGCCAUGUUUUCUGUUAUUAUUUAGCUGUAUGCUAAACAUUGUCAAUGAUGUACAUUUCCAAGUAACUGUCCGCAAAUAAAAUCAAAAUGCAACAGUGCUCCUAAAAUUUCCAAUUGCCCAAUACACAACUUUAUUUAACUGUUUAGGAAUUUUGCUUCAAAUAUUGGAAAUAUGUACAAAACCAAAUCUGUCAUUCAUUAUAACAGAUAUUAUAUAACAGAGUGCUUUCUGGCCAGAAUUUUUCUGAAGAAUACUCAGGCAGCACAAACAUUUUCAAUCUCUCCUAUAAUGUUGAAUAUGUGACCUCUUUAUGAUACAAUCCUUGAGAAACAAUUAUAAUGUUGUUUUAUUUCAAACCAGCCGUGUGAUGAAACCACAGAACAAUUUCUUUUUGAUUUGGAGGACAGGUCUUCAACUCUCUAGAACCUGCUGAGGGGACGAUGCAGCAAGCUGAGGCCAUAAUUGCAAUAUAAGC